CCCUUAGAUGUCCUGGGCCGCACGCGCGCUACACUGAGUGUCUGAGAUACGAGUCUGCCUGGUCCGGCAAGGUCUAGGUAAUCGCUAAAAGACACAUCAUGCUUGGGAUAGAUUAUUGCAAAUAUUAAUCUUGAACGAGGAAUUCCUAGUAAGCGCAAGUCAACAGCUUGCGUUGAUUACGUCCCUGCCCUUUGUACACACCGCCCGUCGCUACUACUGAUUGGAUGUUUAAGCGAGGUUCUCGAAUUGCUAGCGACUUAGCUUCGGUGAGGUCGCAGUGUGGGAAGUGAACCUAGCUUUGGUGUCUAGAGGAAGUAAAAGUCGUAACA
RNAcentral lists this ribosomal RNA (329 nucleotides) under uncultured eukaryote. RNAcentral's name for it is "partial 18S ribosomal RNA". It matches the Rfam family "Eukaryotic small subunit ribosomal RNA", at positions 1470 to 1796 of the family's 1831-position model. The record is from RNAcentral.